GACGAACGCUGGCGGCGUGCUUAACACAUGCAAGUCGAACGGAAAGGCCCUGCUUGUGUGGGGUGCUCGAGUGGAGAACGGGUGUGUAACACGUGAGUAACCUGCCCUUGAUUUUGGGAUAACUUCAGGAAACUGGGGCUAAUACCGGAUAGGAGCUCCUGCUGCAUGGUGGGGGUUGGAAAGUUUCGGCGGUUGGGGAUGGACUCGCGGCUUAUCAGCUUGUUGGUGGGGUAGUGGCUUACCAAGGCUUUGACGGGUAGCCGGCCUGAGAGGGUGACCGGCCACAUUGGGACUGGGUUACGGCCCAGACUCCUCCGGGAGGCAGCAGUGGGGAAUAUUGCACAAUGGGCGGAAGCCUGUGGCAGCAACGCCGCGUGCGGGAUGACGGCCUUCGGGUGGAAAACCGCUUUCGCCUGUGACGAAGCGUGAGUGACGGUAAUGGGUAAAGAAGCACCGGCUAACUACGUG
This 468-nucleotide ribosomal RNA is filed under the name uncultured bacterium. Its description in RNAcentral is "partial 16S ribosomal RNA". It matches the Rfam family "Bacterial small subunit ribosomal RNA", at positions 28 to 507 of the family's 1533-position model. The record is from RNAcentral.